Molecule: long non-coding RNA, 3381 nt
Filed under: Canis lupus familiaris (dog)
Lineage: Eukaryota; Metazoa; Chordata; Mammalia; Carnivora; Canidae
Description: lncRNA (ENSCAFG00040010509.1)
Source: RNAcentral
AUGCUCACUCAACUCCCCUCUCUCCGGGGCGGGGGGGCGGGGGCGGCGCCGGGCGAGCAGCUCCUCCAGGCGCUGCCCCCCCCCCCCCCCCCCCCGGCCCUCCACGCCCCUCGCCCCGCGCGGGCUUUGGCGCCAGAUCUUUCAAACUCUCACUGCAACGGCUGCCCCUGGCUCGGGGCCCGGCCCGAGGACCCGGAUUCCGGAGCCUGGAUCUGUGCGGCCUGGAUUCCGGAGCCCGGCGCGCGGGGAGGGCUCACUCCGGAGCCGGGCCAGGCCUGGGGGCUAACCCGGCAUCUAGGGGCAGAACUCGGCCGCCCUCCCAAGGGCUGGAGCCUAUAAUCCCAGAUGGAAUCUGGGUUGGUGGGGGGGGAUGCUGAGGCUGGCGGGCGGCUGUGGCCUACGGGGUGGAAGGCUCUAGAGGCAUAGACCAGUAUUGAUGGAGUCCCCUGUGCCAGGCCUCGGAGCCGCAUCAGUGUGACCCAAACAGAGAUCCCUGCUGGGGGGGUGGCGGGGUGGAGAGGACACAGAUACACUUCACAAGCCAACCACGUGGCUGGUGGAAGAGGGAAUGUGGGCAAACAAGGUCAAGGGGCUCGGGAGCCCCUGCGUAGGGGGAUGCACUUUUUUUUUUUUUUUUUUAAGAUUUUAUUCAUUCCUGAGAGACACGGAGAGAGAGGCAGAGAUACAGGCAGAGGGAGAAGCAGGCUCCCUGUGGGGAGCCUGAUGUGAGAUUCGACCCCAGGACCCCGGGGUCACACCCUGGGUGGAAGGCAGAUGCUCACCCACUGAGCCACUCAGAUGCCCCUGAAAAGGUUAUUUUAAAACUGAGCUUUGAAAAAAUAGAUAAAUAAAUAAAAAUUAAAAAAAAAAAAAAACUGAACUUCGGGGGCACUUGGUGGCUCAGCGGGUGAGCAUCUGCCUUCCGCCCAGGGCGUGAUCCUGGGGUUCUGAGAUCAAGUCCCACAUCAGGCCCCCUGCAUGCAGUCUGCUUCUCUCUCUAUGUCCCUGCCUCUCUCUGUGUGUCUCUCAUAAAUAAAUAAAUAAACUAAAUCUUUAAAUAAAAUAAAACUGAGCUUUGGGGGCCCCUGCGGGGGCUCAGCAGUUGAUCCCGGGAUCCCAGGAUCGAGUCCCACAUCGAACUCCCUUGCAGAGAACCUGCUUCUCCCUCUGCCUGUGUCUCUGCCUCUCUGUCUCUCUCAAGACUAAGUAAAUAAAAUAUUUUUAAAAAUAAAACAAAACAAAAUAAAUAAAACCGAGCUUCGUGGAAACAUUAGUGCAACCAUUUUGAUUUUUAUCCAGCUUUAUGCUUUCAAGCAGUUUCGGGGACAGAUGUGAAACAAGUACGUGAUCUAAUGUUAGUGUGCUAGUUAUCUGUCACUAUGUAACAGAGACCCAAACGCAGUGGCUUAAAGCAACUCACCUUAUCUCCGUGGCUCAGGAAUCUGGGUGCGCAGUAGCUGGGUCAUCUGGCCAGGGCUUCAUGAAAACUCACUUCAAGCUCACUUGCACAGAAGGAUCCAGCCCCUGCAGGCUAUAGGCCUUAGAGUGUCAGGCGGGCCGUUGUCCAGGGGCUGUCUCAGUUCCUUAUCACAUAACAGAGGUUCUCAUUCGGGUUUUGAAACCCUCUGUAUUUGUUGUAAUAGGAAAAACAAAAACAACCCAAAUAUCUAUCGAACAGUGGACCCAAACCUCCAUGGACAUUACACGGUGGAAAAUGAUGCUGCGGUGAAGAUGAAUGCCCCAGGGACACGCAUCCCCAGAAUGACCUCCCAGGUGUAAGAUUGUGCAAAGAAAGCAAAGCCCACAAGACUACCAGCAAUAUCCUACCAUUUUUAUAAAAUUCAAAACCUGGCUAACCUAGCUGAUGUGAUGCAAUUGAAAGGAAAAGUGGAAACAUGGUUACUCAGAAGUCAACACGGUGGUGUUGUCUGGUGAGGAAGGGGGUGACAGGUGGGGAUGGGUACAUAGUGGUGGGGGCUUCAACACAGGGUCACAUCCUGUUCUUUUUUUUUUUUUUUUAUGAUAGUCACACAGAGAGAGAGGCAGAGACACAGGCAGAGGGAGAAGCAGGCUCCAUGCACCGGGAGCCCGACGUGGGAUUCAAUCCCGGGUCUCCAGGAUCACGCCCUGGGCCAAAGGCAGGCUCCAAACCGCUGCGCCACCCAGGGAUCCCCCACAUCCUGUUCUGAAGGCUGGUCGUUGUGAAGUCUCUACUCUAUAAGCUGGACAUGUAAGUGACAGAUGCUUUUUCUGUGUUUGAUAAAUUUCAUAUAUCAAAAAUGAAAAAAAAAAAAACACACCAACUUUCCUUGGGCUGCUUUGUAGAACAACGUGGUCCCGGGGCGCCUGGGUGGCUCCGUUGGUGAAGCAUCUGCCCUCGGCUCAGGUCGUGAUCUCGGAGUCCUGGGAUCGAGCCCCACAUCGGGCUCAGCAGAGAGUCUGCUUCUCCCUCUGCCCCUUCCCCUGCUCACGCUGGCGCUCUGUCUCUGAAAUAAAUAAAUAAAAUCUUAAAAAACAAAACAAAACAGGCUCAGCAGUUUAGUGCCGCCUGCAGCCAGGGGCCUGAUCUUGGAGACCCGGGAUCGAGUCCCACAUCAGGCUCCCUGCGUGGAGCCUGCUUCUCCCUCUGCCUGUGUCUCUGCCCCACCCCAACCCCCUCUAAUAAAUAAAUAAAAUAUAAAAAAAAAACAACGUGGGCCCAAUAUAAAUAGAAUACCCUACCGCCAAAGAGCAAUGGUAAUCCUGUGACCUCAUAGACCUGUUAACUAUGCUCCCUGGUAAUCAUGUUGCAAUAUGUAAAUGUGUGAAAUCAAUAUACAUUGUACACCUUACAGUUGCACAAGGUCAUAUGUCAACUACGUCUCAAUUUAAAAAAAAAAAAGAGUAUCCUAGGGGUGCCCCUGGGUGGCCCACUCUAUGAAGCAUCUGCCUUCAGCUCAGGUCAUGAUUUCAGGGUCCUGGGAUGGAGCCCUGUGUUGGGCCCCCUGCUCAGUGGGGAGUCUGCUUCUUUGUCUCCCUCCCUCCCUGCUCAUGCUCUCUCUUGCUCUCUCUCCCUUUUACUCUCGGUCUCAAAUAAAUAAAAUCUUUAAAUUUUUUUAAAAUUAAAAACAAUUUUUUAAAUGAAAUCUUAUUUAAAAUGUGGUUUCAGGGGACGCCUGGGGGACUCAGUGGGAGCAUCUGCCUUCGGCUCAGGGCAUGAUCCCGGGGUCCUGGGAUCGAGUCCCGCAUCGGGCUCCCCGCAUGGAGCCUGCUUCUCCCUCUGCCUGUGUCUCUGCCUCUCUCCGUGUCUUUCAUGAAUAAAUAAGUAAAAUCUUUAAAAAAAAUUUUGGUUUCAAGAUGGCUGGCUGGCUCAGUUGGAAGAACAUGUGACUCACGAUCUCA